This 127-nucleotide small RNA is filed under the name Marmota monax (woodchuck). The record is from RNAcentral. Lineage: Eukaryota; Metazoa; Chordata; Mammalia; Rodentia; Sciuridae.
GCCAGAUGCGGUGGCGCACACCUAUAAUCCCAGUGGCUCAGGAGGCUGAGGCAGGAGGAUCUUGAGCUCAAGGCCAGCCUUAGCCACUUAACGAGGCCCUAAGCAACUCAGCAAGAUCCUAUCUCAA